RNAcentral lists this ribosomal RNA (551 nucleotides) under uncultured Glomus. RNAcentral's name for it is "eukaryotic LSU rRNA". The stretch from base 156 to 309 matches the Rfam family "5.8S ribosomal RNA". The record is from RNAcentral. Lineage: Eukaryota; Fungi; Glomeromycota; Glomeromycetes; Glomerales; Glomeraceae.
GGAAGUAAAAGUCGUAACAAGGUUUCCGUAGGUGAACCUGCGGAAGGAUCAUUACUGAUUUAGCGAACCGAGCGUUAGCGAGGUUUUGCGAUCAACUUGUAUUUAAAACCCACUCUUCAAUGUAUAAAAUUUGUAUUAAUGAUAAAUUAAAAGAUCACUUUCAACAACGGAUCUCUUGGCUCUCGCAUCGAUGAAGAACGUAGCGAAGUGCGAUAAGUAAUGUGAAUUGCAGUAUCCCGUGAAUCAUCGAACCUUUGAACGCAUAUUGCACUUUCUGGUAUUCCGGAAAGUAUGCCUGUUUGAGGGUCAGUUAAAUAAAAAUCGGUGUUGUUGCCGCUUUCCGUGGUGACGCGUCGGAAUUGAGUCGUCUUCGGUUAAGUGACUUAAAAUUUUAUAUGAUUUUCGAACGUAUUUAAAUUUAUUUGAACGUUUGAUAUCGAAUGCUUAUUAGGUUCGGUCAUCCUCAUGACUCGCGCCUAUAAUUUUUCAUUAAAUGACCUCAAAUCAGGUAAGAAUACCCGCUGAACUUAAGCAUAUCAAUAAGCGGAGGA